This 322-nucleotide long non-coding RNA is filed under the name Phoenix dactylifera (date palm). RNAcentral describes it as "long non-coding RNA (PDAC_LNC004116)". Lineage: Eukaryota; Viridiplantae; Streptophyta; Magnoliopsida; Arecales; Arecaceae. The record is from RNAcentral.
UAUUCUUUUGCACGGAAGAUACAACUAGUACCCAAUAACCCUACAUCAUAUCAAAAGAACUUAUUGAAGCAAAUCAUGCCAAACAUGUUUGAGGAAAGUUUACUUGAAUACAACCAUUAUGCAAAGGACACUCACCGACAACACUUCAUAAAAAGAAAAUCUAAAACCCUAAUUUGCAAACACCCAGCUUAUAAAUUCACAUGAAAAUACUGAUCAGAAGCAACAAACGAAAUCGAGCACAAAUGGCGGCAUGGAGGAUUGGAAGAAGAUUGCAGAUAAUUUCCAUCAUUUUUUUCAAGGAAAGUUUUGGUCUUUCUCCACU